RNAcentral lists this ribosomal RNA (253 nucleotides) under uncultured bacterium. RNAcentral's name for it is "partial 16S ribosomal RNA". It matches the Rfam family "Bacterial small subunit ribosomal RNA", at positions 524 to 776 of the family's 1533-position model. The record is from RNAcentral.
GACGGAGGGGGCAAGCGUUGUUCGGAAUUACUGGGCGUAAAGCGCGUGUAGGCGGCUGGCUAAGUCUGAUGUGAAAGCCCGGGGCUCACCCCCGGAAGUGCAUUGGAAACUGGCCAGCUCGAGUCCCGGAGAGGAGGGUGGAAGUCCUGGUGUAGCGGUGAAAUGCGUAGAUAUCAGGAGGAACACCGGUGGCGAAGGCGGCCCUCUGGACGGUGACUGACGCUGAGACGCGAAAGCGUGGGGAGCAAACAGG